AACUAACGCUGGCGGCGUGCCUAACACAUGCAAGUCGUACGAGAAAGCCGGCUUCGGCUGGUGAGUAAAGUGGCGCACGGGUGAGUAACGCGUGGAUAAUCUGCCCUUAAGUGUGGAAUAACGUACCGAAAGGUGCGCUAAUACCGCAUAAUGCCUGGCAACACAAGUUGUCCGGCCAAAGAAGGCCUCUGUUUACAAGCUUUCGCUUCAGGAUGAGUCCGCGUACCAUUAGCUUGUUGGUGGGGUAAUGGCCUACCAAGGCUGCGAUGGUUAGCUGGUCUGAGAGGAUGAUCAGCCACACUGGAACUGAGACACGGUCCAGACUCCUACGGGGAGGCAGCAGUGAGGAAUAUUGCGCAAUGGGGGCAACCCUGACGCAGCAACGCCGCGUGAGUGAGGAAGGUUUUCGGACUGUAAAGCUCUGUCGAGCGGGAAGAAGUGUACCAUGGCUAAUAUCCAUGAUAAUUUGACGGUACCGCUAGAGG
This 485-nucleotide ribosomal RNA is filed under the name uncultured bacterium. RNAcentral's name for it is "bacterial SSU rRNA". It matches the Rfam family "Bacterial small subunit ribosomal RNA", at positions 29 to 487 of the family's 1533-position model. The record is from RNAcentral.